UACGUAGGGUGCAAGCGUUAAUCGGAAUUACUGGGCGUAAAGCGUGCGCAGGCGGUUCUAUAAGACAGAUGUGAAAUCCCCGGGCUCAACCUGGGAACUGCAUUUGUGACUGUAGAGCUGGAGUGCGGCAGAGGGGGAUGGAAUUCCGCGUGUAGCAGUGAAAUGCGCAGAUAUCAGGAGGAACACCAAUGGCGAAGGCAGCUCACUGGGACGGUACUGACGCUGAGACGCGAAAGCGUGGGGAGCAAACAGG
This 253-nucleotide ribosomal RNA is filed under the name uncultured bacterium. RNAcentral's name for it is "partial 16S ribosomal RNA". It matches the Rfam family "Bacterial small subunit ribosomal RNA", at positions 524 to 776 of the family's 1533-position model. The record is from RNAcentral.